GAGCCGGUGCAUCGCUGGACAUCAUCGCUGGAGGACCGAAUGGAGAAGUUCGCCAGUUCUGCUUCUGCCUCUGGUUUCUGGAAUCCGAGAAGACGCCACCGCCACUGCUGGAACUGUUAUUGUUGCUCUGGCUCUGCUCUGGCUCCACUCUGAAUCGUUACCAUCGCUGUUUGGCUGAUGCUGAGGCCUUCCACCAUCAUUGAAGCUUCCCAGAAUCAUCGUGGUUGCUGCCAAGAGAGCUGAAUGGGUGCUAGAAACUGCUAAAAGAGCUACCAUGUUUGAUUAUUUCUACGAGUUGUGACAUCGAGUGACACAGGUUCGAAGACUCAGUUUGAAGCUGCGAGAGAUUAUAGAAUUUACUUAUGAGUUAAGUUACUUUCAUAGAGUUCCCUCGUCCUUAU
Molecule: non-coding RNA, 401 nt
Organism: Arachis ipaensis
Lineage: Eukaryota; Viridiplantae; Streptophyta; Magnoliopsida; Fabales; Fabaceae
Source: RefSeq, a predicted model, not a curated record